UUUGAGGGGAAUGUUGUCUGGCUCGAAGCCGCCAUUAAUCGUAUCGUAUCUCCUUCGAUCCAUCUUUAAUGGUGUCUUCGGACCAGGCUUCAUUCCCCUCAAU
This 103-nucleotide microRNA precursor is filed under the name Ipomoea nil (Japanese morning glory). RNAcentral describes it as "mir-166 microRNA precursor family". It matches the Rfam family "mir-166 microRNA precursor family". From Rfam's summary of the family: This family represents the plant microRNA (miRNA) precursor mir-166. Lineage: Eukaryota; Viridiplantae; Streptophyta; Magnoliopsida; Solanales; Convolvulaceae. The record is from Rfam by way of RNAcentral.